This is a long non-coding RNA of Apus apus (common swift), 808 nucleotides long. RefSeq lists it as uncharacterized. Lineage: Eukaryota; Metazoa; Chordata; Aves; Apodiformes; Apodidae. The record is from RefSeq and is a predicted model, not a curated record. The transcript has 3 exons.
CAAAACAUUGCCAAUACUCAUCUUGCCCUGGGGACAUGAUAAGGGAAGAGAGCAAACCAGACUCUCCAGGCCCUGAUGAUUUGCCCACAGAUGAUCUUGCUCAGGAGAGAGGAGAGAGAACUUCAGGUUCUGCAGAUAAAAAGUCUUCCUCCUGUGACUAGAAACAGCACUGGCUGCUCUGUGAUCCUUAGAUGUCUUUUCACUGUGAUAAAUUCAGCUAACAGGACUUCCUUUCAAUGCAGGUAGAUAUCAGAUAGUCCCUGCAUGGGUAAUACUAUCAAAUAUACAACAAUUUGAUUUUUGCCUUAAAGGACGUCAAGUCCUGUUUGUUGAACAUACCUCAAGUCUUGCUCAAAGGAGAAAAUUAUUUACUCAGAAGGCUUUCUACGUGGCUUGUAUCAGCAACCAUCUGAUGGCUUACACAAGCCAUCAUCUCCACAGGAACAAAGAGCCAUGGCAGAAGUGUCUGUGUUGUGUGCAUCACCUAUUUUGGAUGUCCACCUUGAGGUAUUGAGGACCUCAGCAUUUGGGAGCAUUUGGCAUCAUUUAGCACUUUAGUGAAUCAAAGCCAGUAACUGCAAGUAAGUCUGGUGGGAAGGAUUCUUCCUCAAAUUCUUUCUGGAACUGAAAAUACGGAAGAGAAAGGCUUCCUAGUCUCAGUUCCCCUGCCUGUACCCAAGAUGGUCAAGAGAGUGAAGGAACUGCAUUUACAGAGAAGAGCCUCCUCAGCUCUAAAUUGGACCAUGUUUCCAGAAAAUAAAGGUCUAAGUUGCUAGCACGUACUUGCUGAGCAUUUGCAAUGUACAUU